Molecule: transfer RNA, 71 nt
Filed under: Camelus dromedarius (Arabian camel)
Lineage: Eukaryota; Metazoa; Chordata; Mammalia; Artiodactyla; Camelidae
Also listed under: 1 other name
Rfam family: tRNA
About the family: Transfer RNA (tRNA) molecules are approximately 80 nucleotides in length. Their secondary structure includes four short double-helical elements and three loops (D, anti-codon, and T loops). Further hydrogen bonds mediate the characteristic L-shaped molecular structure. tRNAs have two regions of fundamental functional importance: the anti-codon, which is responsible for specific mRNA codon recognition, and the 3' end, to which the tRNAs corresponding amino acid is attached (by aminoacyl-tRNA synthetases). tRNAs cope with the degeneracy of the genetic code in two manners: having more than one tRNA (with a specific anti-codon) for a particular amino acid; and 'wobble' base-pairing, i.e. permitting non-standard base-pairing at the 3rd anti-codon position.
Source: Rfam by way of RNAcentral
GAGGGUAUAGCUCAGUAGUAGAGUGUGUGAUUAGCACGCAUGAGGCCCUGGUUCAAUCCCUAGCACCUCCA